AUGUUUGAGAGUUUGAUCCUGGCUCAGAACGAACGCUGGCGGCGUGCCUAACACAUGCAAGUCGAACGGAAUUAGCUGAUAGCACAAAGAGUUCAUAGUUCAUGGCUCAUAGCAAAACAGAGAAAAGGAUUUAGCUAUGAGCUAUCAGCUAAGAGCUAUGAGCUUUAUGAGCUGUCAGUUAAUUUAGUGGCGGACGGGUGAGUAACACGUAGGAAACCUACCCUUGGGCGGGGGACAACUCCGGGAAACCGGAGCUAAUACCGCAUAAGACCACAGACUGAGAUGUCAGUGGGAAAAGUAGCAAUACACCUGGGGAUGGGCCUGCGGCCUAUCAGGUAGUUGGCGGGGUAAUGGCCCACCAAGCCUAAGACGGGUAGCCGGACUGAGAGGUUGGACGGCCACACUGGAACUGAGAUACGGUCCAGACUCCUACGGGAGGCAGCAGUGGGGAAUCUUGCGCAAUGGGGGAAACCCUGACGCAGCGACGCCGCGUGGAGGAUGAAGGCUUUCGGGUUGUAAACUCCUUUUGUAGGGGAAAAUAAUGAUGGUACCCUGCGAAUAAGCCACGGCUAACUCUGUGCCAGCAGCCGCGGUAAGACAGAGGUGGCGAGCGUUGUUCGGAAUUACUGGGCUUAAAGGGCGAGUAGGCGGCGGGACAAGUCUGGUGUGGAAUCUUAGGGCUUAACCCUAAAACUGCAG
This 699-nucleotide ribosomal RNA is filed under the name Desulfomonilaceae bacterium. RNAcentral's name for it is "bacterial SSU rRNA". It matches the Rfam family "Bacterial small subunit ribosomal RNA", at positions 1 to 626 of the family's 1533-position model. Lineage: Bacteria; Pseudomonadati; Thermodesulfobacteriota; Desulfomonilia; Desulfomonilales; Desulfomonilaceae. The record is from RNAcentral.